This 283-nucleotide ribosomal RNA is filed under the name uncultured prokaryote. RNAcentral's name for it is "partial 16S ribosomal RNA". It matches the Rfam family "Bacterial small subunit ribosomal RNA", at positions 524 to 817 of the family's 1533-position model. The record is from RNAcentral.
UACGUAGGGGGCUAGCGUUAUCCGGAAUUACUGGGCGUAAAGGGUGCGUAGGUGGUUUCUUAAGUCAGAGGUGAAAGGCUACGGCUCAACCGUAGUAAGCCUUUGAAACUGGGAAACUUGAGUGCAGGAGAGGAGAGUGGAAUUCCUAGUGUAGCGGUGAAAUGCGUAGAUAUUAGGAGGAACACCAGUUGCGAAGGCGGCCCUCUGGACUGUAACUGACACUGAGGCACGAAAGCGUGGGGAGCAAACAGGAUUAGAUACCCCCGUAGUCCCUGAGCGGGCU